Molecule: ribosomal RNA, 465 nt
Filed under: Vreelandella stevensii
Lineage: Bacteria; Pseudomonadati; Pseudomonadota; Gammaproteobacteria; Oceanospirillales; Halomonadaceae
Description: partial 16S ribosomal RNA
Rfam family: Bacterial small subunit ribosomal RNA
Source: RNAcentral
CCUACGGGUGGCAGCAGUGGGGAAUAUUGGACAAUGGGGGCAACCCUGAUCCAGCCAUGCCGCGUGUGUGAAGAAGGCCCUCGGGUUGUAAAGCACUUUCAGUGAGGAAGAACGCCUGGUGGUUAAUACCCAUCAGGAAAGACAUCACUCACAGAAGAAGCACCGGCUAACUCCGUGCCAGCAGCCGUGGUAAUACGGAGGGUGCGAGCGUUAAUCGGAAUUACUGGGCGUAAAGCGCGCGUAGGUGGCUUGAUAAGCCGGUUGUGAAAGCCCCGGGCUCAACCUGGGAACGGCAUCCGGAACUGUCAAGCUAGAGUGCAGGAGAGGAAGGUAGAAUUCCCGGUGUAGCGGUGAAAUGCGUAGAGAUCGGGAGGAAUACCAGUGGCGAAGGCGGCCUUCUGGACUGACACUGACACUGAGGUGCGAAAGCGUGGGUAGCAAACAGGAUUAGAUACCCGGGUAGUC